Molecule: ribosomal RNA, 1311 nt
Filed under: uncultured prokaryote
Description: partial 16S ribosomal RNA
Rfam family: Bacterial small subunit ribosomal RNA
Source: RNAcentral
GGAUUAACGCUGGCAGUGUGUAUAAUACAUGCAAGUCGACUGCAUUUAGGUGCAGGGCAGACGGGUGAGUAACACGUUGGUUAUCUGCCCCGAACUCAGGGAUAACAUCGAGAAAUCGGUGAUAAUACCGGAUAGUCCCGCAAGGGUAAAGAUUUAUCGGUUCGGGAGGAGCCUGCGCAAUAUCAGCUUGUUGGUGAGGUAAUGGCUCACCAAGGCUAUGACGUUUAACUGGUCUGAGAGGAUGAUCAGUCACAAUGGAACUGAGACACGGUCCAUACUCCUACGGGAGGCAGCAGUAAAGAAUCUUCCGCAAUGGACGAAAGUCUGACGGAGCAACACUGCGUGGUGGAUGAAGGCUUUCGGGUCGUAAACACCUUUUCUGGGGGAAGAAGUUCUGACGGUACCCCAGGAAUAAGCGACGGCUAAUUACGUGCCAGCAGCCGCGGUAAUACGUAAGUCGCAAGCGUUAUCCGGAAUUAUUGGGCGUAAAGCGUCCGUAGGCGGUUUUAUAAGUCUGUGGUUAAAUCCCAGGGCUCAACCCUGGAAUCGUCAUGGAAACUAUAAGACUUGAGGUAUGCAGGGGUAGAUGGAAUUCCAGAAGUAGGGGUAAAAUCCGUAGAUCUCUGGAGGAACACCAAACGCGAAGGCAUUCUACUGGGCAUUACCUGACGCUGAGGGACGAAAGUGUGGGGAGCAAACGGGAUUAGAUACCCCGGUAGUCCACACCGUAAACGAUGGAUACUCGGUAUUGGAGGCUUCGACCCCUUCGGUGCCUAAGCUAACGCAUUAAGUAUCCCGCCUGGGUAGUACGGUCGCAAGAUUAAAACUCAAAGGAAUAGACGGGGACCUACACAAGCGGUGGAGCAUGUGGUUUAAUUCGAUAGUAAGCGGGAAACCUUACCAGGGCUUGACAUCUUGAGAAUUCUCUAGAAACAGAGAAGUGCCUUUUGGAACUCAAUGACAGGUGUUGCAUGGUUGUCGUCAGCUCGUGCCUUGAGGUGUACUGUUAAGUCAGGAAACGAGCGCAACCCUCAUUGUAUGUUGUAUUUUUCAUGCAAGACUGCCGACUCCAAGUCGGAGGAAGGUGAGGAUAACGUCAAAUCAGCAUGGCCCUUAUGCCCUGGGCUACACACGUGCUACAAUGGUCGGUACAAUGGGUCGCCAAAUCGUAAGAUGGAGCCAAUCCUAUCAAAGCCGGCCUCAGUUCGGAUUGAGGGCUGCAACUCGCCCUCAUGAAGUUGGAAUCGCUAGUAAUCGUGAAUCAGCACGUCACGGUGAAUAUGUUCCUAGGUCUUGUACUCACCGCCCGUC